UGGGUGUAUCUUUACUUUACUAUUUAUAAUUUUGACAACUUUUACUUCACUACAUUUCUAAAGAAAAUAAUGUAUUUUUUACUCCAUACAUUUUCCCUGACACCUAAAAGUACUCGUUACAUUUUGAAUGCUGAGCAGGACAGGAAAAUGGUCCAAUUCACACACUUAUCAAGAGAACAUCCCUACUGCCUCUGAUCUGGCAGACUCACUAAACACACAUGCUUCAUUUGUAAAAUGAUGUCUGAGUGUUGGAAUGCACCUUGGCUAUUCGUACAUUUAAAAAAGUAACUUGAAAUAAUUACUUUUGAUAUUUAAAACCAACUACUUGUAUUUUACUGGGUGAAUUUCGCUUUUAAGUGAGUCAUUUUCUACUAAGGUAUCUUUACUCAAGUAUGCCAAUUCAGUACUUUUUCCACGUGGUGGCUUUGGGGUUAAAUCCCUGCUUUCCAAACUAGGUUCAAAUCGUAUCUUUUGUGUUCAACCGCUGAAACUUAAUGUCAAAUAUACAAAAAGUGGAAUAUUGAUGGAGUCUGGUUAUGGGGUUAAAUCUCAGUCUUCCAUUCUAGAGGGAGCAGGUUCAAAGCUCCAACUUCAGUGUGGAUUUCUGCAACUGUCAAUGUGAAAAUGACAAAGAAAACAGAGGUGUGAAGGAGUCUGUGGCUCUGGUGUAAAGAUCUCACCCUGUAUGUUCAGGGUUGUAGGUUCAAACCCCAGUCUGAGUGAGAAGGGGUCUGUCGCUCUGGUGUAAAGAUCUCACCCUGUAUGUUCAGGGUUGUAGGUUCAAACCCCAGUCUGAGUGAGAAGGGGUCUGUCGCUCUGGUGUAAAGAUCUCACCCUGUAUGUUCAGGGUUGUAGGUUCAAACCCCAGUCUGAGUGAGAAGGGGUCUGUAGCUCUGGUGUAAAGAUCUCACCCCAUACGUUCAGGGUUGCAGGUUCUGUCACAGCUCUGGAUCAGGAUGUGUUGGGACCAUGAACUCUGCUGCAGAAAGAGUCAAGGCCACUAGGAGUGCCACACCGACACGAUCAGAGAUAUGGUAAGCUGGGGGUUCAAUCCUGGAGCUCCAGAAGAGCAACCAGCAGAGGUUAUGGAGGAAAACCUCUGAAUAAAGUGGUCUUUAAGUGUCCAGGAGAUAAUCUCCAUAACCGUCUCAGACUGACCCAGAGAGGCUGCUACUCAGACACACAACCUGCCACACCCAGGGCUUCAACUCAGUACCCUGUGGGCAGGAAGCUUACCACCCAGGGCUUGAACUAAGUACCCUGCAGUCAGUCAUCCCAGAGAGCUCAGCUGGUUCCCUACGGAACCCUCCUAACCUUCUACUAGACUUGCAGUAACGUACAGGCUCUUCCUCAAUCUUACCUCAAAAUCUGUUGGAAAAUGGGAUGGAGCGUUGGCCUUUUCCAGUACUGUUGAGGCGGCUGCCAGGAGAUCGAGAGGUAUUGUGGAAAGACGAACAGUAUUUGAAAUAGAUGAAUGAAAAAUCAUGCAGGACCACAAACUGGGCAGGAAAAAAUUAAAUAAAAUCCAUGCCACUACAGAAAACUGAGCACGAUAAAAAGAGGAAUGUCUGAUAAUAAAAUCCCACAAAUGACAUUUUGAAAUGCACCUCAAGUCAUCAACAUAAAGUAUUAGAUAUCACAAAGCCAAUAAACACAAACUUUCCCACAAUCCAAACCCUUUUUAUUAGAACAAUACAGCAGAUAUAAAGACCUAUUGCAAAUCACACGGUCAACACUGGACGUGUGCUUCAACAAACAAAAUGCACUUCCCCAAAAAACAACAAAAAUGAAAUAAAUUAAUUAAAAAAACUAAUAAAACUAAAACAUCCAUUUCCUUUGAUGUUUUUUUUUCUGUUGAAAUGUCAGAAUGAAACAAAGGCCUUGUAACUCUGGGCUGAAGACUGAGAAGUUAAGACAUCUAUAUAGUCUCAACACAGAGCAUUAAGGACCUAGCCUG
This 1957-nucleotide long non-coding RNA is filed under the name Salmo salar (Atlantic salmon). Its description in RNAcentral is "lncRNA (ENSSSAG00000093132.1)". The record is from RNAcentral. Lineage: Eukaryota; Metazoa; Chordata; Actinopteri; Salmoniformes; Salmonidae.